CUGGUUGAUCCUGCCAGUAGUCAUAUGNNNGUCUCAAAGAUUAAGCCAUGCAUGUCUAAGUAUAAGCAAUUUAUACAGUGAAACUGCGAAUGGCUCAUUAAAUCAGUUAUCGUUUAUUUGAUAGUACCUUACCACUUGGAUAACCGUGGUAAUUCUAGAGCUAAUACAUGCUUAAAAUCCCGACUGUUUGGAAGGGAUGUAUUUAUUAGAUAAAAAAUCAAUGUCUUCGGACUCUUUGAUGAUUCAUAAUAACUUUUCGAAUCGCAUGGCCUUGUGCUGGCGAUGGUUCAUUCAAAUUUCUGCCCUAUCAACUUUCGAUGGUAGGAUAGUUGCCUACCAUGGUUUCAACGGGUAACGGGGAAUAAGGGUUCGAUUCCGGAGAGGGAGCCUGAGAAACGGCUACCACAUCCAAGGAAGGCAGCAGGCGCGCAAAUUACCCAAUCCCGACACGGGGAGGUAGUGACAAUAAAUAACGAUACAGGGCCCUUUCGGGUCUUGUAAUUGGAAUGAGUACAAUGUAAAUACCUUAACGAGGAACAAUUGGAGGGCAAGUCUGGU
This 558-nucleotide ribosomal RNA is filed under the name uncultured eukaryote. RNAcentral's name for it is "SSU rRNA". It matches the Rfam family "Eukaryotic small subunit ribosomal RNA", at positions 4 to 565 of the family's 1831-position model. The record is from RNAcentral.